UCGUUACGUCUCCUCCAGUAAAUUUCACCCACUAGCACCGAAACAGAGGGAUUUUCAAGGUCCAUAGUCAAGUUCCCAUAUCUCCUCAAUGACUCUAUAGUAUCUGUAUUUUUUUCCAUUGUUGUCUAUUGCAUAUAUACGAACACCACUAUUUUGAUUUGUGCUCUUUUGGUCUUGGGCUGUCGUGUAAAAUGUUUACCCAUUUAUGUCGUAUCCUUGGAAAGCCG
RNAcentral lists this long non-coding RNA (227 nucleotides) under Setaria italica (foxtail millet). RNAcentral describes it as "long non-coding RNA (SITA_LNC003917)". The record is from RNAcentral. Lineage: Eukaryota; Viridiplantae; Streptophyta; Magnoliopsida; Poales; Poaceae.